AACACAGGGAUUACCUCAGUAACGGCGAGUGAAGCGGUAACAGCUCAAAUUUGAAAUCUGGCCUCACGGUCCGAGUUGUAAUUUGUAGAGGAUGCUUCGAGCAUGGUCUGGCCUAAGUUCCUUGGAACAGGACGUCAUAGAGGGUGAGAAUCCCGUAUGCGGCCAGGUGCCUACGCUCAUGUGAAGCUCCUUCGACGAGUCGAGUUGUUUGGGAAUGCAGCUCAAAAUGGGUGGUAAAUUUCAUCUAAAGCUAAAUAUUGGCCAGAGACCGAUAGCGCACAAGUAGAGUGAUCGAAAGAUGAAAAGCACUUUGGAAAGAGAGUUAAACAGUACGUGAAAUUGUUGAAAGGGAAGCGCUUGCAACCAGACUUGCGCGCGGCCGAUCAUCCGGUGUUCUCACCGGUGCACUCGGCCGUGCUCAGGCCAGCAUCGGUUUUGGCGGCUGGAUAAAGGCCCUAGGAAUGUAGCUCCUCUCGGGGAGUGUUAUAGCCUAGGGUGCAAUGCAGCCUGCUGGGACCGAGGACCGCGCUUCGGCUAGGAUGCUGGCGUAAUGGUUGUAAGCGGCCCGUCUUGAAACACGGACCAAGGAGUCUAACAUCUAUGCGAGUGUUUGGGUGUCAAACCCAUACGCGUAAUGAAAGUGAACGGAGGUGAGAACCCUUAAGGGUGCAUCAUCGACCGGUCCUGAAGUUUACGGAAGGAUCUGAGUAAGAGCAUAGCUGUUGGGACCCGAAAGAUGGUGAACUAUGCCUGAAUAGGGUGAAGCCAGA
RNAcentral lists this ribosomal RNA (770 nucleotides) under uncultured fungus. RNAcentral describes it as "LSU rRNA". It matches the Rfam family "Eukaryotic large subunit ribosomal RNA", at positions 63 to 856 of the family's 3401-position model. Lineage: Eukaryota; Fungi. The record is from RNAcentral.